AGUCGAACGGGGCUCAGAGAACAGAGGACUUGUCCAAAGUUUUCGAAAGCCUAGUGGCGGACGGGUGAGUAACACGUGAGCAACCUGCCUUGGACUGGGGAAUAACUGUGGGAAACCAUAGCCAAUACCGCAUAAAGUCACGAGAGGACAUCCUCCUGUGACCAAAGGAGCAAUCCGGUCUUAGAUGGGCUCGCGUCCGAUUAGAUAGUUGGUGAGGUAACGGCUCACCAAGUCUGCGAUCGGUAGCCGGACUGAGAGGUUGAACGGCCACAUUGGGACUGAGACACGGCCCAGACUCCUACGGGAGGCAGCAGUGGGGAAUAUUGGGCAAUGGGCGAAAGCCUGAUCCAGCAAUGCCGCGUGAAGGACGAAGGUCUUCGGAUUGUAAACUU
This 392-nucleotide ribosomal RNA is filed under the name uncultured bacterium. Its description in RNAcentral is "bacterial SSU rRNA". It matches the Rfam family "Bacterial small subunit ribosomal RNA", at positions 60 to 432 of the family's 1533-position model. The record is from RNAcentral.